CGUGAUGGAUGUGCUUGGUAGAUACCACAAUAUGCAUUUAAAUAUGUUUUCUAAUUUCAAGUGGUGAUGUGUUUUCCUUAAAUUGAAUUGUCCACGCUGAUUCCAUUUUUUUUUGUUAGGCAUUUCUUUUUUUCUUUUCUUUUAAAGUAGUUUAGGAUUUAGAUAAACUUUAAUUUUUAUUUUAUUUUCUUUUAUUUUA
RNAcentral lists this long non-coding RNA (199 nucleotides) under Vigna radiata. RNAcentral describes it as "long non-coding RNA (VRAD_LNC004671)". Lineage: Eukaryota; Viridiplantae; Streptophyta; Magnoliopsida; Fabales; Fabaceae. The record is from RNAcentral.